GUGCUCACGGCAGCAGCACAUACACUAAAAUUGGAACAAUACAGAGAAGAUUAGCAUAGCCCCUGCGCAAGGAUGACGCGCAAGUUUGUGAAGUGUUCUCUAUUAAG
This is a small nuclear RNA of Otolemur garnettii (small-eared galago), 107 nucleotides long. The record is from Ensembl. Lineage: Eukaryota; Metazoa; Chordata; Mammalia; Primates; Galagidae.